CAUUCUCUGGUGUUGAAGGCCCUGCAAAGCAGCAUCGCGGUGGCGGAGCGUCGUUUGCGACGCCCAACACACAAAACAAGCGGUGAGUGCUUUGGGGUGGGGUGACUGCGUACCUUUUGUAUAAUGGGUCAGCGACUUAUAUUCUGUAGCAAGGUUAACCGUAUAGGGGAGCCGAAGGGAAACCGAGUCUUAACUGGGCGUUAAGUUGCAGGGUAUAGACCCGAAACCCGGUGAUCUAGCCAUGGGCAGGUUGAAGGUUGGGUAACACUAACUGGAGGACCGAACCGACUAAUGUUGAAAAAUUAGCGGAUGACUUGUGGCUGGGGGUGAAAGGCCAAUCAAACCGGGAGAUAGCUGGUUCUCCCCGAAAGCUAUUUAGGUAGCGCCUCGUGAACUCAUCUUCGGGGGUAGAGCACUGUUUCGGCUAGGGGGUCAUCCCGACUUACCAACCCGAUGCAAACUGCGAAUACCGAAGAAUGUUAUCACGGGAGACACACGGCGGGUGCUAACGUCCGUCGUGAAGAGGGAAACAACCCAGACCGCCAGCUAAGGUCCCAAAGUCACAGUUAAGUGGGAAACGAUGUGGGAAGGCUCAGACAGCCAGGAUGUUGGCUUAGAAGCAGCCAUCAUUUAAAGAAAGCGUAAUAGCUCACUGGUCGAGUCGGCCUGCGCGGAAGAUGUAACGGGGCUAAACUGUGCACCGAAGCUGCGGCAGCGACGCUUAUGCGUUGUUGGGUAGGGGAGCGUUCUGUAAGCCUGCGAAGGUGUCCUGUGAGGGAUGCUGGAGGUAUCAGAAGUGCGAAUGCUGACAUAAGUAACGAUAA
RNAcentral lists this ribosomal RNA (824 nucleotides) under Salmonella enterica subsp. enterica serovar Kentucky. RNAcentral's name for it is "partial 23S ribosomal RNA". It matches the Rfam family "Bacterial large subunit ribosomal RNA", at positions 566 to 1315 of the family's 2925-position model. Lineage: Bacteria; Pseudomonadati; Pseudomonadota; Gammaproteobacteria; Enterobacterales; Enterobacteriaceae. The record is from RNAcentral.